UGUAAGCGUAUACAAAAGUUGUUGCAGUUAAAACGCUCGUAGUCGGAAUUUGGCAGUUCCGGAUGUGUGCACGUCGUGUGCGCACUUCGCGGGGAUUGCUUUUGUGGUCUUGCGUAGGAUGAGGCACUUUUAUUAGUGAACGUCCUCACGCAACCACUUUUUACUGUGAGAAAAUCAGAGUGCUCAAAGCAGGCAUUUGCCGUGAAUGUAUUAGCAUGGAAUAAUAGAAUAGGACUUGGUUCUAUUUUGUUGGUUUGUUGGGACUGAGUAAUGAUUAAGAGGGACAGUUGGGGGCAUUUGUAUUUCGGUGCUAGAGGUGAAAUUCUUAGAUUACCGAAAGACAAACUGCUGCGAAAGCGUCUGCCAAGGAUGUUUUCAUUGA
RNAcentral lists this ribosomal RNA (382 nucleotides) under uncultured eukaryote. Its description in RNAcentral is "partial 18S ribosomal RNA". It matches the Rfam family "Eukaryotic small subunit ribosomal RNA", at positions 592 to 976 of the family's 1831-position model. The record is from RNAcentral.